This 305-nucleotide ribosomal RNA is filed under the name uncultured bacterium. Its description in RNAcentral is "bacterial SSU rRNA". It matches the Rfam family "Bacterial small subunit ribosomal RNA", at positions 338 to 659 of the family's 1533-position model. The record is from RNAcentral.
CCUACGGGGGGCAGCAGUGGGGAAUAUUGCACAAUGGGGGAAACCCUGAUGCAGCGACGCCGCGUGAGUGAAGAAGUAUUUCGGUAUGUAAAGCUCUAUCAGCAGGGAAGAAGAAAGACGGUACCUGACUAAGAAGCCCCGGCUAACUACGUGCCAGCAGCCGCGGUAAUACGUAGGGGGCAAGCGUUAUCCGGAUUUACUGGGUGUAAAGGGAGCGUAGACGGCUGUGCAAGUCUGAAGUGAAAACCCGGGGCUCAACCCCGGGACUGCAUUGGAAACUGUCAGGCUAGAGUGUCGGAGAGGCA